UAGCAUUCAAUAUGUCCGCCAUUACAGAACUUCCAUCGCAGUUUCUUCUUCCAUCCUCUUUCUUCGAAACUUCAAAAAUCCUAACUCCAAAAUCACCAUUCACAAUUCUACAUUUUCUAUAUAAAUAAAUCUCUAAAUCUUCAUCAUAGUAGUACUAAUUUUUGGUAUCAACAAUGGCGGCGAAUCAAAAUGUAAUUGUAAUGAGACACGGUGACCGGUUGGAUAACUUUGAGGAAUUGUGGGUGAUGAAAGCGGAAAGACCGUGGGAUCCACCUUUGCAUCAGGAUGGUAAGAUCCGGGCAUUUUGUACGGGUCAAAAGAUCCGAUCCAGUAUUGAUUUCCCGAUCCAUCGGGUUUUCGUUUCUCCGUUUCUCCGAUGUGUGCAGACUGCUGCAGAGGUCGUACGUGCUCUUUGUGACGUUGCUGAUCACAACGGCGAGUCUAAUGUCUUGUCAUCCAAUUCCGAUUCAGUCAUUAUUGAUCCAUCUAAAGUCAAAGUAUCUAUUGAAUAUGGUUUGUGUGAAAUGCUGAAUUUAGUAGCUGUAAGAGCUUCUGCAGCUCCUAAGGAUGGGGAUUUCAAAUUCAGCAUCUCACAAUAUGAAUCUGAGUUGCCUGCUGGAACUGUAGAUAACACUGUUGAACCUGUGUAUAAGAAGCUGCCAGAGUGGGAAGAGUCGUUGGAAAGUGCAAGGGCUAGAUAUGUGAAGGUAGUUAAGGCCCUUGCUGAUAAGUAUCCUUCUGAGAACCUGUUGUUAGUCACACAUGGUAAGUGUUCUUGCUUGGUUUUGCAUUUUCUAGGUGCAAUGUGGGUUGUGAUGUGGAGAGUGAAGACUUUCUAGUCUCCAAAGAGCACACAGGGCCCUUGUGAGAGACUGCUUCUGCUGUGGCGAAAUCAAUGAAUGUGUUUCAAUUUAAAUGGCGUAUCUUUGUUGUUUCAGAUUG
RNAcentral lists this unclassified non-coding RNA (942 nucleotides) under Hevea brasiliensis (rubber tree). Lineage: Eukaryota; Viridiplantae; Streptophyta; Magnoliopsida; Malpighiales; Euphorbiaceae. The record is from RNAcentral.